This 1513-nucleotide ribosomal RNA is filed under the name metagenome. Its description in RNAcentral is "bacterial LSU rRNA". It matches the Rfam family "Bacterial large subunit ribosomal RNA", at positions 1331 to 2925 of the family's 2925-position model. The record is from RNAcentral.
GCAUGGCCGAAAGCCUCAGGUUUCUGGAGGAAGGUUCGUCCGCUCCAGGUUAGUCGGGAGCUAAGGUGAGGCCUAACGGCGUAGCCGAUGCACAGACGGUAGAGAUUCCGUCACCACCAAAAGAGUUAAACACAGGGACACAUUUGAAGUCUCGGAGCCGGGUGUUGGUUCCGGUAGCGAUCGAGGGAAAUUAGUACCGAAGUCCGGGAUGGAAGAUGGCGAGAAAAGCUGUGUGUAUUUCUGCGGUGCCCGUACCGCAAACCGACACAGGUAGGUAGGAAGAAGAUUCUAAGGCCAACGGGAGAAGGGUUGUUAAGGAACUCGGCAAAUUGACCCCGUAACUUCGGGAGAAGGGGUGCUCUAGAGAUAGAGCCGCAGAGAAUCGGCCCAAGCAACUGUUUACCAAAAACACAGGUUUGUGCUAAAUCGAAAGAUGACGUAUACGAGCUGACGCCUGCCCGGUGCUGGAAGGUUAAGAGGAGAUGUGCAAGCAUUGAACCGAAGCCCCAGUGAACGGCGGCCGUAACAAUAACGGUCCUAAGGUAGCGAAAUUCCUUGUCAGGUAAGUUCUGACCCGCAUGAAAGGCGUAAUGAUUUGGGCACUGUCUCGACAGCCCGCCCGGCGAAAUUGUAGUACCGGUGAAGAUGCCGGUUACCCGCGACAAGACGGAAAGACCCCAUGGAGCUUUACUGUAGCCUAAUAUUGGGUUUCGAUGUUGCAUGCACAGGAUAGAUGGGACACUGGGAAGCAAGUGCUUUGGCAUUUGUGGAGUGGCCGUUGGGAUACCAUCCUUGCGAUAUUGGAAUUCUAACCUGCGCCUUCGAAUCAAGGCGGGGGACAUUGUUAGGUGGGCAGUUUGACUGGGGCGGUCGCCUCCUAAAGAGUAACGGAGGCGUUCAAAGGUUCGCUCAGCUUGAACGGAAAUCAAGCAAAAGAGUGCAAACGCAGAAGCGAGCCUAACUGCGAGACUGACGGGUCGAGCAGUAACGAAAGUUGGAGUUAGUGAUCCGGUGGUAUGUGAGUGGAAAUGCCAUCGCUCAACGGAUAAAAGUUACCCUGGGGAUAACAGGCUGAUCUCCCCCAAGAGUCCAUAUCGACGGGGAGGUUUGGCACCUCGAUGUCGGCUCAUCGCAUCCUGGGGCUGUAUUCGGUCCCAAGGGUUUGGCUGUCGCCAAUUAAAGCGGUACGCGAGCUGGGUUCAGAACGUCGUGAGACAGUUCGGUCCCUAUCUGUCGUGGGCGCAGGAUAUUUGAUGGGAGCUGUUCCUAGUACGAGAGGACCGGAGCGGACGUACCUCUGGCGCACCAGUUGUUCUGCCAAGGGCAUAGCUGGGCAACUAUGUGCGGAUCGGAUAAACGCUGAAAGCAUCUAAGCGUGAAGCCGACCCAAAGAUAAGAUAUCCCAUUGUUUCAAACAAGUAAGACCCCUUGAAGACUACAAGGUUGAUAGGCAUGAUGUGUAAGUGGAGUGAUCCAUUCAGCAAGCGUGUACUAAUAGGUCGAGGGCUUGACC